GGCAGCUCUGAGGAUGAGAUCUGAAGCCACGGAUGUGAAAUCCACCUUGCUGGAGAUCGAGGAGUGGCUCGAUAAAUUGAUGCAGCUUACUGAAGAGGUGAUGCUUGAGAGGCAGAGGAUACUUCCUAAAAUACCUUUCAGAUCUUCUUCUUCUUCUUCUUCUUCUUCUUCUUCUUCUUCUUCUUCUUCUUCUUCUUCUUCUUCUUCUUCUUCUUCUUCUUCUUCUUCUUCUAUUUCUUCUUCUCCAUCUUCCUUUUCAUCUUCUUUUUCAUCUUCUUCUCCUAUUUGCCUCCUUCACUUCUCCUCCUCCUCUUCCUCCUCCACUUCAUCUUCUCCUCCUCCUCCUCCUCUGGGAUUUACUUGAUCCUUCCCAGAAGAAUCUCUACAAAGAUGUGAUGCUGGAGACCUACUGGAACCUCAAUGUUAUAGGUUCCUAUUGGGAAGACCAUCAUAUUGAAGAACAAGGUCAAACU
This is a long non-coding RNA of Apodemus sylvaticus (European woodmouse), 473 nucleotides long. RefSeq lists it as uncharacterized. Lineage: Eukaryota; Metazoa; Chordata; Mammalia; Rodentia; Muridae. The record is from RefSeq and is a predicted model, not a curated record. The transcript has 3 exons.